RNAcentral lists this ribosomal RNA (268 nucleotides) under Rugamonas fusca. RNAcentral describes it as "partial 16S ribosomal RNA". It matches the Rfam family "Bacterial small subunit ribosomal RNA", at positions 329 to 589 of the family's 1533-position model. Lineage: Bacteria; Pseudomonadati; Pseudomonadota; Betaproteobacteria; Burkholderiales; Oxalobacteraceae. The record is from RNAcentral.
GUCCAGACUCCUACGGGAGGCAGCAGUGGGGAAUUUUGGACAAUGGGCGCAAGCCUGAUCCAGCAAUGCCGCGUGAGUGAAGAAGGCCUUCGGGUUGUAAAGCUCUUUUGUCAGGGAAGAAACGGUGAGGGCUAAUAUCCCUUGCUAAUGACGGUACCUGAAGAAUAAGCACCGGCUAACUACGUGCCAGCAGCCGCGGUAAUACGUAGGGUGCAAGCGUUAAUCGGAAUUACUGGGCGUAAAGCGUGCGCAGGCGGUUUUGUAAGUC